GAUGAACGCUGGCGGCGUGCCUAAUACAUGCAAGUCGAGCGAACAGACGAGGAGCUUGCUCCUCUGACGUUAGCGGCGGACGGGUGAGUAACACGUGGAUAACCUACCUAUAAGACUGGGAUAACUUCGGGAAACCGGAGCUAAUACCGGAUAAUAUAUUGAACCGCAUGGUUCAAUAGUGAAAGACGGUUUUGCUGUCACUUAUAGAUGGAUCCGCGCCGCAUUAGCUAGUUGGUAAGGUAACGGCUUACCAAGGCAACGAUGCGUAGCCGACCUGAGAGGGUGAUCGGCCACACUGGAACUGAGACACGGUCCAGACUCCUAAGGGAGGCAGCAGUAGGGAAUCUUCCGCAAUGGGCGAAAGCUUGACGGAGCAACGCCGCGUGAGUGAGGAAGGUCUUCGGAUCGUAAAACUCUGUUAUUAGGGAAGAACAAAUGUGUAAGUAACUAUGCACGUCUUGACGGUACCUAAUCAGAAAGCCACGGCUAACUACGUG
RNAcentral lists this ribosomal RNA (497 nucleotides) under uncultured bacterium. RNAcentral describes it as "partial 16S ribosomal RNA". It matches the Rfam family "Bacterial small subunit ribosomal RNA", at positions 28 to 507 of the family's 1533-position model. The record is from RNAcentral.